Hippocampus zosterae (dwarf seahorse) is the source of this 861-nucleotide long non-coding RNA. RefSeq lists it as uncharacterized. Lineage: Eukaryota; Metazoa; Chordata; Actinopteri; Syngnathiformes; Syngnathidae. The transcript has 9 exons. The record is from RefSeq and is a predicted model, not a curated record.
CCUAACAUCUGGUGAGCCUGCGUUCGAAUGUCCCCAUAUUGCUGUACCACAGAACUGAACAGUGUUAACUUUCUAUAGUGUGGUAUAUUCAUCCCAAACUCUCCCGUGAGCAAUGUUCAAUGAUAAUUAAUGUUUAUUCAUUUCUUAAAUGGUCAGAAUGAAGAAUGCUGAAUAUUUUGACACCGUAAUGUUAUGUUGCAGACACCAAGUGACCUGACUGAACCCUCUGGAGACCAUGAAUGGAGUGAGAUAUCCACUUCAUUCUUACAACAGACACCAAGUGACCUGACUGAACCCUCUGGAGACCAUGAAUGGAGUGAGAUAUCCACUUCAUUCUUACAACAGACACCAAGUGACCUGACUGAACCCUCUGGAGACCAUGAAUGGAAUGAUAGAUACACUUCAUCCUUACAACAGACAUCAAGUGACAGGUACCUGACUGAACCCUCUGGAAACCAAGAAUGGAGUGAGAGAUCCACUUCAUCCUUACAACAGACACCAAGUGACCUGACUGAACCCUCUGGAAACCAAGAAUGGAGUUAGAGACCCACUUCAUCCUUACAACAGACACCGAGUGACCUGACUGAACCCUCUGGAGACCAUGAAUGGAGUGAGAGAUCCACUUCAUCCUUACAACAGACAUCAAGUGACAGGUACCUGACUGAACCCUCUGGAAACCAAGAAUGGAGUGAGAGAUCCACUUCAUCCUUACAACAGACACCAAGUGACCUGACUGAACCCUCUGGAAACCAAGAAUGGAGUUAGAGACCCACUUCAUCCUUACAACAGACACCGAGUGACCUGACUGAACCCUCUGGAGACCAUGAAUGGAGUGAGAGAUCCACUUCAUCCUUACAACAG